This 253-nucleotide ribosomal RNA is filed under the name uncultured bacterium. RNAcentral's name for it is "partial 16S ribosomal RNA". It matches the Rfam family "Bacterial small subunit ribosomal RNA", at positions 524 to 776 of the family's 1533-position model. The record is from RNAcentral.
UACAGAGGUCCCAAGCGUUGUUCGGAUUUACUGGGCGUAAAGGGUGCGUAGGUGGUUGGGUAAGUUUGAUGUGAAAUCUCCGGGCUUAACCCGGAAAUGGCAUUGAAUACUAUUCGGCUAGAGGUUUGGAGGGGGGACUGGAAUUCUUGGUGUAGCAGUGAAAUGCGUAGAUAUCAAGAGGAACACCAGUGGCGAAGGCGAGUCCCUGGACAACACCUGACACUGAGGCACGAAAGCUAGGGGAGCAAUCAGG